Molecule: ribosomal RNA, 465 nt
Filed under: Vreelandella stevensii
Lineage: Bacteria; Pseudomonadati; Pseudomonadota; Gammaproteobacteria; Oceanospirillales; Halomonadaceae
Description: partial 16S ribosomal RNA
Rfam family: Bacterial small subunit ribosomal RNA
Source: RNAcentral
CCUACGGGGGGCAGCAGUGGGGAAUAUUGGACAAUGGAGGGAACCCUGAUCCAGCCAUGCCGCGUGUGUGAAGAAGGCCCUCGGGUUGUAAAGCACUUUCAGUGAGGAAGAACGCCUGGUGGUUAAUACCCAUCAGGAAAGACAUCACUCACAGAAGAAGCACCGGCUAACUCCGUGCCAGCAGCCGCGGUAAUACGGAGGGUGCGAGCGUUAAUCGGAAUUACUGGGCGUAAAGCGCGCGUAGGUGGCUUGAUAAGCCGGUUGUGAAAGCCCCGGGCUCAACCUGGGAACGGCAUCCGGAACUGUCAAGCUAGAGUGCAGGAGAGGAAGGUAGAAUUCCCGGUGUAGCGGUGAAAUGCGUAGAGAUCGGGAGGAAUACCAGUGGCGAAGGCGGCCUUCUGGACUGACACUGACACUGAGGUGCGAAAGCGUGGGUAGCAAACAGGAUUAGAUACCCCGGUAGUC